Molecule: small RNA, 107 nt
Filed under: Marmota monax (woodchuck)
Lineage: Eukaryota; Metazoa; Chordata; Mammalia; Rodentia; Sciuridae
Source: RNAcentral
GCCAGGUGCUGGGGUGCGCUCCUGUAAUCCUAGGUCCUUGUUAGGCUGAGGCAGGAGGAUCACAAGUUCAAAGCCAGCCUGGGCAACUUAGUGAGACCCUGUCUCAA